UACGUACGGGAGGCAGCAGUGAGGAAUAUUGGUCAAUGGAUGCAAAUCUGAACCAGCCAAGUAGCGUGCAGGAUGACGGCCCUAUGGGUUGUAAACUGCUUUUAUGCGGGGAUAAAGUUGGGGACGUGUCCCUUUUUGCAGGUACCCGCAUGAAUAAGGACCGGCUAAUUCCGUGCCAGCAGCCGCGGUAAUCGUA
This 196-nucleotide ribosomal RNA is filed under the name uncultured bacterium. RNAcentral's name for it is "partial 16S ribosomal RNA". It matches the Rfam family "Bacterial small subunit ribosomal RNA", at positions 337 to 529 of the family's 1533-position model. The record is from RNAcentral.